AUGGUGAAGGACAAGAUGGCGGCGCUAGAGCGUGCAAAGAAGGCGAAGGGGGCGGCGAAGGGAAAAAAGCAGCACCGCGGGUCUUCAUCACGCGCGGGGCUGCCACCGGGCUGGAUCCAGGGCGAUUGGAUCUGGUCUUUGAUUCGGCAGGAGGAUCUGGAUGAGCUGCUGGAGUCUGGGCUGAUCGCCAAGGGAGCGGCAAGGUUGCCGGAGGGGGAGAUGGAGCCUCAGCCUCGAUCGGGUGAGUGCGUACUGCUCGCCACCCACAUCAACCGGGGUUUUUCGCUUCCUCCGCAUCCUUUCUUCCGGGGGUUCUUGAAUUUUUUCGGCGCCCAACUCCUCCAUUUUUCUCCUAACACCAUCACGUAUCUGGACGCCUUUGUGUCGAUGUGUGAAAACUUCUUGGGGUGUCGACCGCACUGGGGUCUGUUCAAACAUAUCUUCACCAUCCGCUCCCAGUCGGUCAAAAAAGCUAAGUCGAGUGACUCAAAGACCAAUGUCAUCCAGUUGUGCGGGGGUUUAGCUAUCCAAAAAAGGCAUAGGAGUUCUUUCCCUGCUACGACUCUCCCUGAAUCGGUCAGAGGCUGGCAGUCGACCUGGUUCUACUGCCAGGACACCGCAGCUCCAGGUCAGUCGACCGGCCUCCCCCACUUCACAUUCGACCACGUUCAGACCCCUUCUCCACUCAUAGUGACCGCUGCUGAGAACGUGGAGACGAAGAUGCUGGUGGAAAAAGUGGUUCAACUUAUCAACGAGGGUGUCAUCGGCCUGGACCUGCUGGAAGUGUUCCUUAGUCGAUGCAUCCAGCCUCUUCAGGCUUGCGAUCAUCCUAUGUGGUUGUACUCCGGACCUGAAGACACCGCUCGGGUCCAUCCAGAGGAAGUGUCGUCUGAGACCGUGGCCAUGUGGUUGAGGAGUAUCACCGGCAAUCAGGACAAUCCCAGGGGAUCCAGGCGAGUCAUCCCUUUCAGAGACGACAAUCCACCCGACAAGAUGUAUUCGAUGCCCAACGGCGAACAAGCUCUGGAGCAGGGCCAGGAGGGAGAGGCCAGCGCAGAAGAGAGCGACGACUGGGAGUCUUUGGAUGAAGAGGAGGAGGAGGUGAGCGAGGAGUCAGACGGCGAGUAA
This 1128-nucleotide ribosomal RNA is filed under the name Triticum aestivum (bread wheat). RNAcentral's name for it is "partial small subunit ribosomal RNA". Lineage: Eukaryota; Viridiplantae; Streptophyta; Magnoliopsida; Poales; Poaceae. The record is from RNAcentral.